Molecule: ribosomal RNA, 497 nt
Filed under: uncultured bacterium
Lineage: Bacteria
Description: partial 16S ribosomal RNA
Rfam family: Bacterial small subunit ribosomal RNA
Source: RNAcentral
GAUGAACGCUGGCGGCGUGCCUAAUACAUGCAAGUCGAGCGAACGGACGAGAAUCUUGCUUCUCUGAUGUUAGCGGCGGACGGGUGAGUAACACGUGGAUAACCUACCUAUAAGACUGGGAUAACUUCGGGAAACCGUAGCUAAUACCGGAUAAUAUUUUGAACCGCAUGGUUCAAAAGUGAAAGACGGUCUUGCUGUCACUUAUAGAUGGAUCCGCGCUGCAUUAGCUAGUUGGUAAGGUAACGGCUUACCAAGGCAACGAUGCAUAGCCGACCUGAGAGGAGGGGCGGCAACAAUAGCACUGCUACACGGAGCAGGGACCGACGGGAGGCAGAAGGAGGGAAUCGUGAGCAAUUGGCGAAAACCUGACGGAUCAACGACGAGGGAAGAAUAAAGGUCUUCGGAUCGUAAAACACUGUGAAGAGGGAAAAACAUAUGUGUAAGGAACAGUGCGCACCUGGACGCUCCCUAAUAAGAAAACAACGACUAGCUACGUG